AUGGCCCGCAUUGCGGCGUUCUUGCUGGUGGCCCUGCUCUCCUUAGCCGGGCAUCUCGCGCAGUCCGCGCCAUGCCGAUCAUGCCCGCCCACAAAGCCUUCCCAGCCUGCACCGUGUAAGCACAAGUCCUCACCAUCGUCCAUACCCUGCCCUCCACCUUCACAAACUCCCAUGCCCUCAACCACACCCACACUCACCCCGGUGACUCCGACGCCGGCACCGACCCCGACUGUCUUCAUCCCUCCACCUACAAACACUCCGGCACCCACGCCCAUACCGGCCUCUGUAACUCCAACAUCGGCACCGACCCCUAUGAUGCCUCCAAUACCAACCCCUAUAACUCCAACACCGGUACCAGCUCCUCUCUCUCCAACACCAACACCGGUGGCCCCAACACCUACAACCAUGAUGCCGCCGACACAGAUGCCUAUGGCACCAACGCCGGCACCGACCCCUGUAUCUCCAACGCCAAACCCGGUGGCCCCAAGACCUAUCUGUUGGGGAACGUUGCAGAAAACAAAAAAUUUCCUACUCGUUUCACCAAGAUCAUCUAGGAGUUCAUCUAGCAACGAGUGA
Molecule: ribosomal RNA, 576 nt
Filed under: Triticum aestivum (bread wheat)
Lineage: Eukaryota; Viridiplantae; Streptophyta; Magnoliopsida; Poales; Poaceae
Description: partial small subunit ribosomal RNA
Source: RNAcentral